AGAGUUUGAUCAUGGCUCAGAUUGAACGCUGGCGGCAGGCCUAACACAUGCAAGUCGAACGGUAACAGGAAGCAGCUUGCUGCUUUGCUGACGAGUGGCGGACGGGUGAGUAAUGUCUGGGAAACUGCCUGAUGGAGGGGGAUAACUACUGGAAACGGUGGCUAAUACCGCAUAACGUCGCAAGACCAAAGAGGGGGACCUUCGGGCCUCUUGCCAUCAGAUGUGCCCAGAUGGGAUUAGCUUGUUGGUGAGGUAACGGCUCACCAAGGCGACGAUCCCUAGCUGGUCUGAGAGGAUGACCAGCCACACUGGAACUGAGACACGGUCCAGACUCCUACGGGAGGCAGCAGUGGGGAAUAUUGCACAAUGGGCGCAAGCCUGAUGCAGCCAUGCCGCGUGUAUGAAGAAGGCCUUCGGGUUGUAAAGUACUUUCAGCGGGGAGGAAGGUGUUGUGGUUAAUAACCGCAGCAAUUGACGUUACCCGCAGAAGAAGCACCGGCUAACUCCGUGCCAGCAGCCGCGGUAAUACGGAGGGUGCAAGCGUUAAUCGGAAUUACUGGGCGUAAAGCGCACGCAGGCGGUCUGUCAAGUCGGAUGUGAAAUCCCCGGGCUCAACCUGGGAACUGCAUUCGAAACUGGCAGGCUUGAGUCUUGUAGAGGGGGGUGGAAUUCCAGGUGUAGCGGUGAAAUGCGUAGAGAUCUGGAGGAAUACCGGUGGCGAAGGCGGCCCCCUGGACAAAGACUGACGCUCAGGUGCGAAAGCGUGGGGAGCAAACAGGAUUAGAUACCCUGGUAGUCCACGCCGUAAACGAUGUCUACUUGGAGGUUGUGCCCUUGAGGCGUGGCUUCCGGAGCUAACGCGUUAAGUAGACCGCCUGGGGAGUACGGCCGCAAGGUUAAAACUCAAAUGAAUUGACGGGGCCCGCACAAGCGGUGGAGCAUGUGGUUUAAUUCGAUGCAACGCGAAGAACCUUACCUGGUCUUGACAUCCACGGAAGUUUUCAGAGAUGAGAAUGUGCCUUCGGGAACCGUGAGACAGGUGCUGCAUGGCUGUCGUCAGCUCGUGUUGUGAAAUGUUGGGUUAAGUCCCGCAACGAGCGCAACCCUUAUCCUUUGUUGCCAGCGAUUAGGUCGGGAACUCAAAGGAGACUGCCAGUGAUAAACUGGAGGAAGGUGGGGAUGACGUCAAGUCAUCAUGGCCCUUACGACCAGGGCUACACACGUGCUACAAUGGCGCAUACAAAGAGAAGCGACCUCGCGAGAGCAAGCGGACCUCAUAAAGUGCGUCGUAGUCCGGAUUGGAGUCUGCAACUCGACUCCAUGAAGUCGGAAUCGCUAGUAAUCGUGGAUCAGAAUGCCACGGUGAAUACGUUCCCGGGCCUUGUACACACCGCCCGUCACACCAUGGGAGUGGGUUGCAAAAGAAGUAGGUAGCUUAACCUUCGGGAGGGCGCUUACCACUUUGUGAUUCAUGACUGGGGUGAAGUCGUAACAAGGUAACCGUAGGGGAACCUGCGGUUGGAUCACCU
Molecule: ribosomal RNA, 1529 nt
Filed under: Salmonella enterica subsp. enterica serovar Sanjuan
Lineage: Bacteria; Pseudomonadati; Pseudomonadota; Gammaproteobacteria; Enterobacterales; Enterobacteriaceae
Description: bacterial SSU rRNA
Rfam family: Bacterial small subunit ribosomal RNA
Source: RNAcentral